GCGGGGGAUAGAUAGCCGACGCGCGGAAUGGGAAUCAUCUCGAGGCGCGUGCUGCCGCUGUGUGGGCAUUUGUGCGUGUGCUGCCCCGGUUUGAGGGCUAGAUCGCGGCAGCCGGUCAAGCGCUACAAGAAGCUCCUCUCUGAUCUCUUUCCCAAGUCCCAGGCCGAGCAACCGAAUGAUAGGAAGAUCUCGAAGCUAACGGACUACGCUGUGAAAAAUCCCUUCCGGAUACCAAAGAUUGCCAAGAACUUGGAGCUUCGAGGCUACAAGGAGCUGCGACACGAGCACUAUGGAUCGGUCAGAGUUAUCAUGCGCACAUUUUUUAAGCUCUUCUCGACUUGCAAAGAUCAAAUGCCUCUACUGGCCGUCAGUGCCUUAAACAUGAUUCAUGUGCUACUGGAGCAACAAAAUGAUGAAAUGCGUGUUCUUGGAUGCGUCACAGUCGUGGAAUUUAUUUACCAACAGGUUGAUACCACGUACAUGCACAACCUGGAUAGUUUUAUACCGAAGUUUUGCGCUCUUGCCCGAGAGACUGGACCCGAGCCGAAGCGAAGUAUCUUACGAGCUGCAGGACUGCAAGCUCUUUCCGCGAUGUUAUGGUUUAUGGGGGAGUUUUCUCACAUGCCCUCCGAUUUUGAUGAGAUCGUGCGUGCUGUUUUGAUGAACUAUGAAGCGACUGUGACCGCAGUAGAAACCGAAGGCGGCGAAAGGGAGCCGGCACAAAAUCUUGUGAAGGGGUUCCUGAAAGGAAGUGUUAUGCGUGAUGCACUGGCGCGAAUGUCCUUCAACAUGGAAAGUAUUCGCAUCAAGUAUCCCAGAAACCUCACCAAAGAAGAAUCUGAAACGCCUAAGGUGUGGUCGCAGAUCUGCGUCCAGAAUAUGGCAUGCUUAGGCAAGGAGACAACAACUAUACGCUGCGUUUUGGACGCUGCCUUCAACUAUUUCGACUCAGAGAAAUCAUGGUCGCUAGAAUCUGGAAUCGCUCUCCCCGUUCUUCGCGAUAUGGUGUUUCUAAUGGAGAAAACAGGUAACGAUCAUCUUGUUCUUGGCGCGCUAGUGAGACACCUAGACCAUAAAAAUGUUGCGAAUGAGCUGCCAGUGAAGACCGAGAUUGUCAGGGUCACAACAGUCCUAGCACGGCAUUCGAAACCCAAGAGCAAGCAUUCGGAAGUCGGUAUCAUCAACGAUCUGUCACGCCAUCUUCGUAGAAGUUUGCAACUCUCUUUGGAAAUGUCUAGUGGUGUCAACAUGGAGCACUUGAACGACUGUCUUCAAGCGAUCGAGCGAUGUUUGAUAGAGCUAGCACGGAGGAUUGGCGAAGCAACUCCUAUCCUGGAACAAAUGGCCGUUAUUCUGGAAAAGCUUUCGUCCAAGAAUACAGUUGCCAGAACGACUAUCGAAGCAGUGGCCGUCCUUGCACAUAUUGUUGUAUCACUUCCAAAUGAAGAUCUGCACAUAAAGGCAUUUCCAGAGGCGUUGCUUUACCAGCUUUUGCGAGCAAUGGUACACCCCGACGUCGAAACUCGUUUGGGUUGCCACCAUAUUUUCUUUGUUUUGUUGAUACCUCCUUCAGGGGGAGAUGCGGUUCUCGUUAAGAGUGACGUGAAAGUUCUAUUCCGGACACCUUCUAGUGCAGCAUCUUCUCUAUUUGAGAAAGUUAUGAAAGACAAGCAAAAGAGCGUCGAAAACAUUGACGAGUUCAAGGACGCUGAAGAAUCUCUCGCCGUGAAGGACACAUCCGUCAAAGAAGUUGAGAUGACGCCAGCCAGGUUAAGCGGAUAUCAAGCAUCGCUACUUCUUUCGAGCUUAUUAAUUCAGGCUACAAUGGCCGACAAUGUGCCCGUCAUCUUUGAGGCGCUUGGCCAUACUUUUAGCUUAACGCUGCUUUUUUCUCGACCCAAGACUUCCAGCAAUAACACUUGCAUACGAGCUUUUCAGCUUGCUCUGACUCUGCGAACUCUUGCUUUAGAUCCCAGCGCUGUGAAAAGCUCGUGCCAGCGCCGGUCGCUGUUCACACUUUCGACUGUCAUGCUUAUCGUUGCUGCCACAAUUUACGAUGUUCCCCAUAUCAUACCCCUUGUCAAGGCUAACCUUACAGCUGAAACGAGGGAUCCGUUCCUGGAAGUUACGGAGGACAACAAGCUUAAGCUUUGUUCCGGUGCGAAUUUUAAGAACUACGGCUCUAUAGAUGAAGAAAGAUCGGCUGCAGCUGCCAUGUCACAGAUUUCCAUUCCGCCCGAUGCUUCAAACGAGACCAUUGCUUCCAUGAUAGUUAAGCUCGCACCACCACACCUAGAGAUGAGUGGACCUGAGCAGUUGCUCCAAAAGUUUACUCCAGACGACACACUUGUUUUGGGCUCGAAGAUACACUUGGAAGCUUUCAACGGUCACAUGGGCAUGGAGUCUAUGUCUUUUGACGAUGUUGUACCCUCGGCUGAUGAGGAUGCUUUGAGUCCAAUGGCUUCUAUUGGUCUUCCUCCACUACUGGCUGAUGUCCCGGUUCCUCCCCCAGCUGCUAUGGGCGUAAAUCAGCUUCUAGAAUCGGCACUGGAAGCUGCCGGCCAAGUCGCCAGCAUCACAACCCCGAACUCUCCGGUUUCUUAUCAUGCUCUUGCAAGCCAGUGCGAGGCCUUCGUUGCGGGAACGAGGAAGAACAUGUCAAUCGUGAUGAGGCUUGAUAGCAAUCUGAAACCGAGCACGCCAUCAGCGGACGCCAAGGGAAAGUGGACGCAGGCUAUCGGCUCCAGGAGCAAGAGCUUGAACGAGAGCCCCGUCUUUAGCCCUCCGUGGUUAACACCAUCGGCUGACGAGACAUGGCCGCUGGUAAAGCUCCCACCCGCGAGCCCCUACGACAAUUUUCUCAAGGCUGCCGGCUGCUAAACUGCGACGGUUUGGUGUAAAUAGCUCGGUUGAGAAUGUUCGAAGGUGCUGCAAGUGUCGGCGUCCUUCAUACUCAAAAGUAUUAAGCAUCUGAUGUCAGAGUGCAUAAGUAAGUGCCUAGAGCCAUCGCAAUCAGCCACUAAGUUGCUUGCAACUGGCGAGAACAUUGCGGGGACACGGUCGCCUAACAAUCCAUCACGCCGUGUGUUGAGAAGAGUUAACAAAGAGAGAAGAAAGCACAAGCAAAACAAAGCACAGAUGUAUGAGAGUUUGUCUCGACGGAGUUUGUUCGCUCUUGAAGAGUUGAAAGCACGCAGCGUUUGGCGGGGAAAGAGCGAACAAAAGGAGGAAGAAAAGUUGGCGAUGGCGAUGGCGACUCUAUCGUCUAGGGAGGUGUUUAAGGCUGGGGAUUAGGUGCUUGGCCAUUUUUUUCUCUCCUCUCCUCCGACUGUAUGGUGAAAGAAUGUGACCCACUGUUUCUAUCUCGCCACCGGCGGUAAAUCUGGAGCGGUAACAAAAAAAAAGUGAGAAAAAUUUGA
Selaginella moellendorffii is the source of this 3419-nucleotide RNA transcript. RefSeq lists it as uncharacterized. The transcript has 21 exons. The record is from RefSeq and is a predicted model, not a curated record. NCBI's taxonomy places the organism in Eukaryota, Viridiplantae, Streptophyta, Lycopodiopsida, Selaginellales, Selaginellaceae.